This is an unclassified non-coding RNA of Vulpes vulpes (red fox), 139 nucleotides long. The record is from Ensembl. NCBI's taxonomy places the organism in Eukaryota, Metazoa, Chordata, Mammalia, Carnivora, Canidae.
CUUCCACCUCACAAGGACAUCUAUGGCAAUGGAGGAGAUUCAUUCUGGCUUGCUGAUGAACCCACUGGGCAGGAAGCCGCAAUGUAAGUGACAGGUAGGUGGUAGUGUUGACCAAGGACAAGGUUUCUGGCUGCCCAGG